UAAAACAGGUACCGACAGAACUGCGAGAAAAGAUCAUUAAAUCUUAGAAUGUGCAGGUUAUGACUAACAUCUUUGUAAAUGCCAACUUAUAACAUAACAUUUAUUUUGCCUGAUGUUGGAUACUGGUAGUAUCUAUUGACCAAUAAGUUUUUCCGCCAUUUCCAUUAUGAUUCAAUAUUUCACUAAAUGGUAUCCUGAUACAAACAAAAAUGCUAACUCAUCCAUAAGAUACUACCAGUCAACAUGAUUGUACAUUUAAAAUCCUAAAAAUAAUGGUAAAGAUACAUCAGGCUGGAACAUGGAAAUAAAUGCGAGCCUCAAAUUUUACAGCCAAGCAUGCUACACAAAGCAGUGCCUCUGUUCAGCACAUCAGGAUUUCUAUCACUGACAUCCAAAAAGUGUUACUUUCAGAGCCAGUAGAACUACAUGUCGAUGGAUACAUUCGUAUCAUAAGAAUGGAAACAGGUUGUCGCAUUAAAAAAUACUGUAAUCAACAGGCACGACCCUACAGAUAUAGAGAGAUGAUUAAUGAGCUGAAAAGGUAA
This 545-nucleotide unclassified non-coding RNA is filed under the name Hevea brasiliensis (rubber tree). Lineage: Eukaryota; Viridiplantae; Streptophyta; Magnoliopsida; Malpighiales; Euphorbiaceae. The record is from RNAcentral.